Molecule: transfer RNA, 72 nt
Filed under: Camelus bactrianus (Bactrian camel)
Lineage: Eukaryota; Metazoa; Chordata; Mammalia; Artiodactyla; Camelidae
Also listed under: 2 other names
Rfam family: tRNA
About the family: Transfer RNA (tRNA) molecules are approximately 80 nucleotides in length. Their secondary structure includes four short double-helical elements and three loops (D, anti-codon, and T loops).
Source: Rfam by way of RNAcentral
GAGGGUGUAGCUCAGUGGGAGAGCACAUGCUUAGCAUGCACAAGGUCCUGGGUUCAAUCCCCAGUAUUUCCA